This 403-nucleotide ribosomal RNA is filed under the name uncultured Eubacteriales bacterium. Its description in RNAcentral is "bacterial SSU rRNA". It matches the Rfam family "Bacterial small subunit ribosomal RNA", at positions 356 to 774 of the family's 1533-position model. The record is from RNAcentral. Lineage: Bacteria; Bacillati; Bacillota; Clostridia; Eubacteriales.
GGGGAAUAUUGCACAAUGGGGGAAACCCUGAUGCAGCAACGCCGCGUGAAGGAUGAAGGAUUUCGGAUUGUAGACUUCAUUAGUCAGGGACGAAUAAAUGACGGUACCUGAAGAAUAAGCCACGGCUAACUACGUGCCAGCAGCCGCGGUAAUACGUAGGUGGCGAGCGUUGUCCGGAAUUACUGGGCGUAAAGGGUGUGCAGGCGGAUAUUUAAGUGAGAUGUGAAAGACCCGGGCUUAACUCGGGCAGUGCAUUUCAAACUGAAAGACUUAAGUAUUGGAGAGGAGAACGGAAUUCCUAGUGUAGCGGUGAAAUGCGUAGAGAUUAGGAAGAACACCAGUGGCGAAGGCGGUUCUCUGGACUGUAACUGACGCUGAGGCACGAAAGCGUGGGUAGCAAACA